AGUAAGAUAUGAGCUAAACCCAGUAAAUGAAAUAUCUAGUUUUAAAUUAGAAGAAUCUUCUAAUCACUUUACUUGAUAUACACAAAGUGAAUGCAUAAUAAUCCAAUAAAUGUGAUAAAAACAUGAUUAGAUUUUAUCUUUCCCAUUUCAUUUACCACAGAAGUUGUCAACCAACAAUAUGUCCAUUCAAACUUAUGCAUGUGCACACCAUGUCUCAUACAAACAAAUAAUUUAAUUAACGUUUGGUUUUGCACACAACAAUGUAUUUUACUCAUUAAUGUUUCUUCCUUUUGAACUCUUCCAGGACAUCUUGGCUCACGAGACAUCCAAACCACUGGGGCAUCUCAACUUUGAGGUAUGCUGCAAACUUUCAUCACGAAACAUUCCCAUCAUAGGGGCAUUCUGACUCUCGAGGCAUUCUGAAACACUACUUGGGGCAUCCCAACCACUGAGACAUCCCGCAAAUUUCCACCACAGGGCAUCAUCAUGCACCAUUGUAUGAGUGAUAGAAUCACAUUAAUCUCAUUUAAGUCAUAAUAUAUGCAUACCUACAAGCAAAAUACAACAUCUCAACUCGAUUUAAUGCAUUAGCCAAAUAAUUGCAUAUGGAAUAAUAUAUAGUUAUAUUCUAGUUGUUAAAGUCUGGACAUCCAAAUGACUACAUUCUAAGUUUGGACAUUGAAUAAGUUCUGGUCAUUAAAAUUUGGUCAAUCAAAUGGAUAUACUUUGAGUCUAAAUGAAUAAGUGUAUUCUGGAUGUAAAGUCUGAACAUGCAAUUGGUACAAUUUUGAGUUAGAAUAACGAGUACAUCUUAGUUGUAAAGUUUUGAACAAUCAAGAAGGUAAUUUAUGGCUUGAUAAAAACUUAUAAAAAAGAAGAAGAACGGAUCAAAUAAUGAACAAAUUUACAAAUGGACAAGUUCAGUAGACAAGAAAUAGAUUCAUAAUCAGUAAAGUCUAUCUGAAUUAAUGGACAAAUUUAUCAGCAAACAAAUUCACAAGUUGAUAAAUAAAUUCACAAAUGAAUAGAUUCGAUCAAAUGAGUAGAUUCACAAAGGAGCAAAUUCACACAAAUUUAGUAAAAUCUAGUAUAAUAAACAAAUAGAUUCAGACAUAGUCAAUUUUGCUAAAGAGAAUGGAUAGAUUCUGUCAUAGAAAAUUCUAGCAGAAACAAGUAGAACGAACAUAUUUUGACUAGUAAGAUUCUAGCAUAAUGAACAUACAAGAGGACAUCAAGACAAAUACGAUAAAAUGAAUAGCUUAUAAUUAUUUAACAGAAUGAACCAGAAUGAACACGCAAUGGGUCAUCAAGACAAAUAUGACAGGACGAUUAGAUUCUAACCAUUUAGAACGAAACGGAAUGAAGUAGAAUGAACAUGUAAUGGGUCAUCAAGAUAAACCUAGAAUGAAGUUGAAUGAACAUGCAAUAGAUUAUCAAGAUAAAUAUGACAGAACAACCAUGGAAUAAAGCAGAGGUCAAGAUAAAUAUAGCAUAACGAGCAGAUUCUGACUAUUUAGAACAAAACAUAAUGAAGCAGAAUGAACAUGCAAUAGUUCAUCAAGAAAAAUAUGAUAGAAUGACUAGAUUUUAACUACCCAGAACAAAGUAGAACGAACCUAGACAAGAUCAUCAAGACAAGUUUAAUAAUCACCAUACCUAAAAACAUUCUUGUACAUUUCAAUCAACCUACCGAGAUAGAAGUAUUAAGUAGAUUUAAACUAGCUUAAUACUUAAAAACUUCACUUACCUUGAACAAGCGUGACCC
This 1765-nucleotide long non-coding RNA is filed under the name Eucalyptus grandis. Its description in RNAcentral is "long non-coding RNA (EGRA_LNC004906)". Lineage: Eukaryota; Viridiplantae; Streptophyta; Magnoliopsida; Myrtales; Myrtaceae. The record is from RNAcentral.